AAUAAAUAAAUUCUCACAGAUUUAUAAAGUGUACUUGAUGCAGAGUUUGAUUGAGCCAUAUUAGUUGUUAAGAGAGACCAUUUGAUUUGAUAAAUUGAUUUCUCCCUCCUGACCUUUUGUGAUUCACACACAAAACUUUAAUGAUGAAAAACUUUCUUCGGAUGACCCUAAUAUCUUAGAUUUUAUGAAAGAGAAUAUAUGUAAUCUUAUGGGUAGAGAGAGAACCAGCUUGUAUAUAUAUAUAUAUUAUGAAAGAGAAUAUAUGUUAAGUAAUCUGAUACAUAUGUUAAGUAAUCAUUGUGCAAUUAGAAUUAUUAUUUAUUUUAAUUAAAGUAAAUAUCAAUUAA
Molecule: unclassified non-coding RNA, 347 nt
Filed under: Hevea brasiliensis (rubber tree)
Lineage: Eukaryota; Viridiplantae; Streptophyta; Magnoliopsida; Malpighiales; Euphorbiaceae
Source: RNAcentral